This 69-nucleotide transfer RNA is filed under the name Marmota monax (woodchuck). RNAcentral's name for it is "tRNA.Val". Lineage: Eukaryota; Metazoa; Chordata; Mammalia; Rodentia; Sciuridae. The record is from RNAcentral.
GGGGUUGUGACUCAGUGGUGGAGCACUUGCCUCACAUGUAUGAGGCACUGGGUUCAAUCCUCAACACCA